CUACGGGAGGCAGCAGUAGGGAAUAUUGGACAAUGGGGGCAACCCUGAUCCAGCAAUGCCGCGUGAGUGAUGAAGGCCUUAGGGUUGUAAAGCUCUUUUACCCGAGAUGAUAAUGACAGUAUCGGGAGAAUAAGCUCCGGCUAACUCCGUGCCAGCAGCCGCGGUAAU
This 168-nucleotide ribosomal RNA is filed under the name uncultured bacterium. Its description in RNAcentral is "partial 16S ribosomal RNA". It matches the Rfam family "Bacterial small subunit ribosomal RNA", at positions 339 to 524 of the family's 1533-position model. The record is from RNAcentral.